Molecule: long non-coding RNA, 2052 nt
Filed under: Xyrichtys novacula (pearly razorfish)
Lineage: Eukaryota; Metazoa; Chordata; Actinopteri; Labriformes; Labridae
Source: RNAcentral
CACAGAUUACACAAUAAUGCAAUGUAAAGAAGAAAGAGAAUAGAAACCACUGGCGCUUGAGUCGUGACCGCUGCAGUUUGAUCCCACCCGGACACCAAAUUUGAUGCAGCUUCUCUUUUCCAUUGAUAACAGUGCCGGUGAUGGCCCUUGUAUUCUUUCAGUGAUAUAAUACACACACCUCUCCGCCCUCAAUACUUUGUGUGCUUCAUUCACUGCUGAGUGGAAUUUGCUCUUGGCUAAAGCUUUGGUUACUAUUGGCAACUGGAGAGCAUCAAUAGUCGCCUCACUGAUGGAUCAGAUAAAUUUGAUUCAAUUCAGUUCGAGGGGGAAAAGGCAUGGCAUUUCAAAGGAACAAAAAUUAGGAUUAUGGAAAGGUUAAAUGGAGCUUGGAUGUGCUGUCGUUAUUUGUGAUGGAUGGUGGUCUAACUGUUGUGCAUGAAAUAUACACUUAAAAUGGUGAAUAGAUUUAUUUAAAGCAUCCUUUAGUCUCUUACAUAUCACAUUCACCCAUUCAUGCACUGGUGGUAGAGGCUGUUUAUAUAUCCAUGUGUGUGUGUGUGUGUGUGUGUGUACAGAGCUGGACACAGCCAGCAGGAGAAGGUCGGGGUCAAGUGUCUUGCAUAAAGAUCUGCAUGUAUGCAAGCUUGUCGCUUCCUAUCCCUCCAUAUUUCCACACACCAGGGAAGGAGAAGGAACACGCUAGUAAGGUCAGAGCACACCUCAUUUAUUUUCUGUCAAAUCCAUACCACCAAAGGGUGGUCAGAGGGUUCAUGUACUGUAGGAGGAGGGCCAUCCAUCAAAAGCAUAAUGUAUGUAAUAUUAAAAGUCACUGCCCUCCCAGAGCUCACAUUCACCUAUCAAUUCAUCUUGAAGAUUGAUAAGCAGCUGCCAUGGGACAGCUCAUGGCACCUCAUUACGCUGAAUAGGUGUUUUUUAUCUUGUGCAGCCGUGCAACACACCACUGAUCCUUUCCUUCUUUCUCUCCUUGUGUCUUCUUUUCUUUUCCUCCCCUCUCUGCUUACAUUCCUCUAUUGUAAAAAGAUAAACUGCCACUCUCAUCUUGAGCAUUUCUCUGUUUAUAGCGCCUCUUGUCCGAUAUGAUGAAUUACAGACACUCAGUUGGAGCUGAGGGUGAAAGUCAAAGGUGUAUAAGGAGAUAAAUAAAAGAGGACACUAAAAGAAGGCGGCAAAGUCAUGUCAGCGGGCCUGGGAAAGCUUUCCUUCCUAAAAAACAAUCACUGCAUCAUCAGAAAAAAGGUCAGAUAGGUCCAGAAGGGCCGCUUCUUGUAAGACAGAACCUUUCAAAAGGACGGAGGUACUGAUCGGCAUGUUCGCUGUUAGAUGUUACAUGUGAGUCCUCUCUGUCUGCAGGGGAUCUCUUCGCCAGUGACAUCACAGGUGACAGCGGCGAUGACUCAGAGGUGUCUCCCGUCCAGCCACUCCAGGAACACCCUACCCCCCUCCUUCAUCCUGAGACAAGAGGCAUCAUGGGUAAUAUGACUCAGCCCAAGUGCACUGAAGCAAGAGUUCACCCUGGGACUGUACAAGCUGUGACAAAAGAGCAGAUUUACUCCCUGAACAACACUCGCUGUUGUCGAACCUUAUUUUCAGUGGAGUAGAAGCGCGGCGAUGUUGAGUACUCACUUGGAGAAACAAUGAAUCAUACAUUAUGUAGAAGCCUCUUAUCAGCAAUAAACGGCAGUAUUAGGAUGCAAAUACAUGCACACUCCAGCUGUGAAGUGGCAGCUGCUCCUGGAACAGCACCUCCAAAACUUCAACUCAGUGUUUAUUUCUCCUGCUCCCCUCUGAUAACACUUCGUUUAAUGACACUGCUCUCAGUCUGUUCAUCUUCGACAUUUUGUUUUUAAUGUUUCUUACUUUAUGUUCAGAGAAAUGUUUCCUUUGCCUGCCUUAAUUUUAUUCCUUUGUUUAUUAUUCCACCUAUCAUUUUUGCUUUUUAAUCACAAUACGCUACAGCUAAAGCGAGAUUUCAAACUGUAAAGCAAUUUUUUAGAUAAAAUAAAGUAAAUAAAAUAUAAUUUACAGAUUGCA